ACAUGCAAGUAGAACGCUGAAGAGAGGAGCUUGCUCUUCUUGGAUGAGUUGCGAACGGGUGAGUAACGCGUAGGUAACCUGCCUUGUAGCGGGGGAUAACUAUUGGAAACGAUAGCUAAUACCGCAUAACAAUGGAUGACACAUGUCAUUUAUUUGAAAGGGGCAAUUGCUCCACUACAAGAUGGACCUGCGUUGUAUUAGCUAGUAGGUGAGGUAAUGGCUCACCUAGGCGACGAUACAUAGCCGACCUGAGAGGGUGAUCGGCCACACUGGGACUGAGACACGGCCCAGACUCCUACGGGAGGCAGCAGUAGGGAAUCUUCGGCAAUGGGGGCAACCCUGACCGAGCAACGCCGCGUGAGUGAAGAAGGUUUUCGGAUCGUAAAGCUCUGUUGUAAGUCAAGAACGGGUGUGAGAGUGGAAAGUUCACACUGUGACGGUAGCUUACCAGAAAGGGACGGCUAACUACGUGCCAGCAGCCGCGGUAAUACGUAGGUCCCGAGCGUUGUCCGGAUUUAUUGGGCGUAAAGCGAGCGCAGGCGGUUUGAUAAGUCUGAAGUUAAAGGCUGUGGCUCAACCAUAGUUCGCUUUGGAAACUGUCAAACUUGAGUGCAGAAGGGGAGAGUGGAAUUCCAUGUGUAGCGGUGAAAUGCGUAGAUAUAUGGAAGAACACCAGUGGCGAAAGCGGCUCUCUGGUCUGUAACUGACGCUGAGGUUCGAAAGCGUGGGUAGCAAACAGGAUUAGAUACCCUGGUAGUCCACGCCGUAAACGAUGAGUGCUAAGUGUUGGAGGGUUUCCGCCCUUCAGUGCUGCAGCUAACGCAUUAAGCACUCCGCCUGGGGAGUACG
This 849-nucleotide ribosomal RNA is filed under the name uncultured bacterium. Its description in RNAcentral is "bacterial SSU rRNA". It matches the Rfam family "Bacterial small subunit ribosomal RNA", at positions 53 to 884 of the family's 1533-position model. The record is from RNAcentral.